Molecule: ribosomal RNA, 497 nt
Filed under: uncultured bacterium
Lineage: Bacteria
Description: partial 16S ribosomal RNA
Rfam family: Bacterial small subunit ribosomal RNA
Source: RNAcentral
GAUGAACGCUGGCGGCGUGCCUAAUACAUGCAAGUCGAGCGAACGGACGAGAAGCUUGCUUCUCUGAUGUUAGCGGCGGACGGGUGAGUAACACGUGGAUAACCUACCUAUAAGACUGGGAUAACUUCGGGAAACCGGAGCUAAUACCGGAUAAUAUUUUGAACCGCAUGGUUCAAAAGUGAAAGACGGUCUUGCUGUCACUUAUAGAUGGAUCCGCGCUGCAUUAGCUAGUUGGUAAGGUAACGGCUUACCAAGGCAACGAUGCAUAGCCGACCUGAGAGGGUGAUCGGCCACACUGGAACUGAGACACGGUCCAGACUCCUACGGGAGGCAGCAGUAGGGAAUCUUCCGCAAAGGGCGAAAGCCUGACGGAGCAACGCCGCGUGAGUGAUGAAGGUCUUCGGAUCGUAAAACUCUGUUAUUAGGGAAGAACAUUUGUGUAAGUAACUGUGCACAUCUUGACGGUACCUAAUCAGAAAGCCACGGCUAACUACGUG